UGCAGUCUAGUAUAGCAAUUAUACAGCGAAACUGCGAAUGGCUCAUUAUAUAAGUUAUCGUUUAUUUGAUAGUACCUUACUACUUGGAUAACCGUGGUAAUUCUAGAGCUAAUACAUGCUAAAAAUCCCGACUCCGGAAGGGAUGUAUUUAUUAGAUUAAAAACCAAUGCCCUCUGGGCUCCUUGGUGAUUCAUAAUAACUUUUCGAAUCGCAUGGCCUUGCGCCGGCGAUGGUUCAUUCAAAUUUCUUCCCUAUCAACUUUCGAUGUUUGGGUAUUGGCCAAACAUGGUCGCAACGGGUAACGGAGGGUUAGGGCUCGACCCCGGAGAAGGAGCCUGAGAAACGGCUACUACAUCCAAGGAAGGCAGCAGGCGCGCAAAUUACCCAAUCCCGAUUCGGGGAGGUAGUGACAAUAAAUACUGAUACAGGGCUCUUUUGGGUCUUGUAAUUGGAAUGAGUACAAUUUAAAUCCCUUAACGAGGAACAAUUGGAGGGCAAGUCUGGUGCCAGCAGCCGCGGUAAUUCCAGCUCCAAUAGCGUAUAUUAAAGUUGUUGUGGUUAAAAAGCUCGUAGUUGAACCUUGGGCCUGGCUGGCCGGUCCGCCUCACCGCGUGCACUGGUCCGGCCGGGCCUUUCCCUCUGUGGAACCCCAUGCCCUUCACUGGGUGUGGCGGGGAAACAGGACUUUUACUUUGAAAAAAUUAGAGUGCUCCAGGCAGGCCUAUGCUCGAAUACAUUAGCAUGGAAUAAUGAAAUAGGACGUGUGGUUCUAUUUUGUUGGUUUCUAGGACCGCCGUAAUGAUUAAUAGGGACAGUCGGGGGCAUCAGUAUUCAAUUGUCAGAGGUGAAAUUCUUGGAUUUAUUGAAGACUAACUACUGCGAAAGCAUUUGCCAAGGAUGUUUUCAUUAAUCAGGAACGAAAGUUAGGGGAUCGAAGACGAUCAGAUACCGUCGUAGUCUUAACCAUAAACUAUGCCGACUAGGGAUCGGACGAUGUUAUUUUUUGACGCGUUCGGCACCUUACGAGAAAUCAAAGUGCUUGGGCUCCAGGGGAUAUG
This 1058-nucleotide ribosomal RNA is filed under the name Akanthomyces dipterigenus. Its description in RNAcentral is "SSU rRNA". It matches the Rfam family "Eukaryotic small subunit ribosomal RNA", at positions 52 to 1127 of the family's 1831-position model. The record is from RNAcentral. Lineage: Eukaryota; Fungi; Ascomycota; Sordariomycetes; Hypocreales; Cordycipitaceae.